GACGAACGCUGGCGGCGUGCUUAACACAUGCAAGUCGAGCGGUAAGGCCCUUCGGGGUACGACGAGCGGCGAACGGGUGAGUAACACGUGGGUAACCUGCCCUCAGCUCUGGGAUAAGCCCGGGAAACUGGGUCUAAUACCGGAUAUCACCUUGGGAGGCAUCUUCCGGGGGUUGAAAGUUUUUGGCGGCUGAGGAUGGGCCCGCGGCCUAUCAGCUUGUUGGUGGGGUAGUGGCCUACCAAGGCGACGACGGGAGCCGGCCUGAGAGGGCGACCGGCCACACUGGGACUGAGACACGGCCCAGACUCCUACGGGAGGCAGCAGUGGGGAAUAUUGCACAAUGGGCGAAAG
Molecule: ribosomal RNA, 351 nt
Filed under: uncultured bacterium
Lineage: Bacteria
Description: bacterial SSU rRNA
Rfam family: Bacterial small subunit ribosomal RNA
Source: RNAcentral